UCAAGAACAAUCGUCAAUGGGCGAAAGCCUGAACGUGCGACGCCGCGUGGAGGAUGAAGGUCUUCGGAUCGUAAACUCCUUUUCUAAGGGAAGAAUCCGCCAUCCGGCGGAUGACGGUACCUUAGGAAUAAGAGGUUGCUAACUCUGUGCCAGCAGCAGCGGUAAUACAGAGACCUCGAGCGUUAUCCGGAUUUAUUGGGCGUAAAGGGUGCGUAGGCGGUUUAGAUAGUCAGAUGUCAAAUCAUCGAGCUCAACUCGGUGGCUGCAUUUGAAACGUCUAGACUGGAGACAGGCAGAGGCUAGUGGAACUCAUGGUGUAGCAGUGAAAUGCGUUGAUAUCAUGGGGAACACCAAAGGCGAAGGCAUCUAGCUGGGCCUGUUCUGACGCUGAGGCACGAAA
Molecule: ribosomal RNA, 400 nt
Filed under: uncultured bacterium
Lineage: Bacteria
Description: bacterial SSU rRNA
Rfam family: Bacterial small subunit ribosomal RNA
Source: RNAcentral